AGAGUUUGAUCAUGGCUCAGGGUGAACGCUGGAAAUGUGGAUACCGGCAUGCAAGUCAAGGGGCCGCAAGGCACCGGCGAACGGCUUAGUAACACGUAGAUACAUACCGCAAAAGUGGGGCACAGCUCGUCGAAAGACGGGGUAAUUUCCCAUAGUCCCGCAAGGGUAAAGGCGCAAGCCGCUUUGUGAAUGGUCUGCGGUCUAUCAGCUAGUUGGCGGGGUAAAAGCCCACCAAGGCUAUGACGGAUAGGGGGCGUGAGAGCGCGACCCCCAAGAAUGGCACUGCGACACGGGCCAUACUCCUACGGGAGGCUGCAGUCGAGAAUCUUCCGCAAUGGGCGAAAGCCUGACGGAGCGACAUUUCGUGAUGGAUGAAGCCCUUCGGGGUGUAAACAUCUUUUAAUUGGGAAUAAAUUAUUGAAGGUACCAGUUGAAUAAGGGGAUCCUAAUUCUGUGCCAGCAGGAGCGGUAAUACAGAAUCCCCGAGCGUUACCCGGAUUUAUUGGGCGUAAAGAGUCUGUAGGUGGUUUGGUAAGUUCAAGAUUAAACCUCAUCGGCUUAACCUUUGAGCUGUUUUGAAUACUGCCAUACUAAGAGGGCGUUAGAGGCAAACGGAACCGAUGGAGUAGGGGUGAAAUCCGUUGAUAUCAUCGGGAACACCAAAAGCGAAGGCAGUUUGCUGGGGCGACCCUGACACUGAGAGACGAAAGCGUGGGGGAGCAAAAAGGAUUAGAUACCCUAGUAGUCC
This 748-nucleotide ribosomal RNA is filed under the name uncultured bacterium. RNAcentral describes it as "bacterial SSU rRNA". It matches the Rfam family "Bacterial small subunit ribosomal RNA", at positions 8 to 796 of the family's 1533-position model. The record is from RNAcentral.